Molecule: ribosomal RNA, 301 nt
Filed under: uncultured bacterium
Lineage: Bacteria
Description: partial 16S ribosomal RNA
Rfam family: Bacterial small subunit ribosomal RNA
Source: RNAcentral
CAGUCGCCGCGGUAAUACGUAGGUGGCAAGCGUUGUCCGGAAUUAUUGGGCGUAAAGGGCUCGCAGGCGGUUUCUUAAGUCUGAUGUGAAAGCCCCCGGCUCAACCGGGGAAGGUCAUUGGAAACUGGGAAACUUGAGUGCAGAAGAGGAGAGUGGAAUUCCACGUGUAGCGGUGAAAUGCGUAGAGAUGUGGAGGAACACCAGUGGCGAAGGCGACUCUCUGGUCUGUAACUGACGCUGAGGAGCGAAAGCGUGGGGAGCGAACAGGAUUAGAUACCCCCGUAGUCCCUGUCUCUUAUAC